Long non-coding RNA from Carassius auratus (goldfish), 4705 nucleotides. NCBI's taxonomy places the organism in Eukaryota, Metazoa, Chordata, Actinopteri, Cypriniformes, Cyprinidae. The record is from Ensembl.
AUGCGAAUGUCUGUGAUUGCCGGUGAUAUUUUAUUUCACAACGCGUUUCCUUGUGUAUUUUUUGCAAGAUCGCGUAAACUGUUAAUACCGGCCAUUGUAAUAUCAGCAUCAGUUGCAGAUGCUGUAUUUUCUACUGAACCGAAAUUGGUGGAAACUGGUGGAAAAUGUGUUAUCAUACCCCUCACUAAACUGAAGAAGGCUGAAGUGAUUCGUUUGGAAGGAGAAAAACCACAUGUGUUUGUGUGUUACUACACCCGUGGGAAAAGAUGUUGGCGCUUAAAAGAAGAUGAAUUUUCACUGGAAUUUACAGGAGGAGACGUUUCCUUAAUUCUUAAAGAAAUCCGCUCCAAAAUCGUUAAAGUAAAAGUCUUUACCAGAAGAUAUGUUAUUUGGAAAUAUGUUGUCAAAAGUGAGUAUAUUUUCAGAAUGUUUACCCUAUUGUUCAGGAAUCAUGAGAAAAAUAGUGUAAAUGGCCAUGAUUGUGUUCAAAAAGUCAUCAUUAGUAAGAAAAAGUUAUGGUGUAAUUCCUACUUGAGUAGAAAGAUUUGUAACAUUGCAAAUCAUUUUGUUAGGCUUUUUUCAUAAGAAAUCAAAUUCAUAAUUUAAUUACACAGUACUUUAUCCUCUUCAUCCCAUGAGAGACAUAAGGGUGCAACCUACUUUCUCCACCUGAGUCUUUCCUGAGCUUUUAAAUGUUGUUCCUCCCAUGAAUGUUGUAUUUUACAGAACCAGAACUGGACCCCCCCACCUCCGGGGGAACUGAUCACGGUGGCCACGGGUACCUGGGGGUAAGGACAGACAGACAAGGCAACAUUUAUAAUCUAGGCCUAAUUCAUUAAUAUGAAAACUUUUUAACAUUGUUAAUGCUACAUACUGAAUGACUGACACAUCUUUGUCAUGGAAAAAGUUUGUGGGUUUUGCAUCGAGUUCACCGUUUUAAUGUAUAUGUUUGUUUUAAAGGAGUAGUUCACUUCCAGAACAAAAAUGUUCAGAUAAUGUAAUCACCCCCUUGUCAUCCAAGAUGUUCAUGUCUUUCUUUCUUCAGUUGCAAAGAAAUUGUUUUUUGAGAAAAACAUUUCAAGAAUUAUCUCCAUAUAAUGGACUUCUGUGGUGCCCAUGAGUUUGAACUUCCAAAAUGCAGUUUCAUUGCAGCUUCAAAUGGCUCGAAACGAUCCCAGCCGAGGAAAAUUUUUUAAAACGUGAUUUGAUUUGCACGACAUCUUGUAAUUGUGUGUUUUUGUGUUGACUGUCAGAAAUGUAGGGCAAUAGCCUGAUGAACCCCUGCUGUCUCCAGGUAUAAAGCUCUUCACUGAUUUGUGAAUUUGCUGCAUCACGUGAGUUUAUCAUAAAGAAUAUGUUGUUUUUAAUUGCAGAUGUGGUGCACAAACAGAAACUGCUGCUGAGAAAACAAUGAAGAUCUGCUGGGUACUUGACUUGCUACUAAGUGUCAUAAAAUGUUAAGUACUGUAUUACUCCUAACACUUUAUUUAGAUUUGUUUACACUCUUGGUCCAAAUCUGACUUUGUCUAUAUCCAGUUGAAAUCAAAUAAUACUACGUAAACUACAUUCCUAUAUUAUUUGAAAUACCAUUUCUAAAAAUCCUUCUCAGUAUUAUGCAGGGUUGGGUGAUAAUGAUACGGAUAAUUGUCGUGAAAUAAUUUUACUUGACAAUGAUAACAAGAGUUUGCUAGAUGCUCGAUAUAAUGUUUACUGUAAGUGCCAAAAGUAAUUUAUCUGGUGUGUUUACGAGUCUCAGUCUCGUGAGCACUAAACAGCGCUGUGAGAUUAGGCAAACCUAUCCAACCUUUGCCUCCGAUACCACUGAUGUUUUCUUCCCCCCAUUUAAAUAUUUUUAGCAUUUAUUUAUCAGUAUGUGUGGAACAGAUAAUCAUUCUUUCACAAUCUACUAAAUACAGACUUCUUCAUUAUAAGACAAAAAAAAUACAAUAUGAAAAAAUAUAGCACUUGCACCAAAGGUUAAUAAACACAAAUCAGUCAGAAUAAAUACAUUUGACCGUAUAAAAUGAGUUUGUUACAAUUUUUACGGAUGUAACUAUUUUUGAUAAUCAAAGCAAGGCGAUUUCAAACACAGUGUUAAUUCAAAUUGCUUUACAUGAAAGGAAGCAACAUAAUAAUAACAAUGAAUAUCAACAUAAAAUGGACAGAAAUGAACAUCUGCAUCUUAACUUGAGCUACUACUGCUAAGAGUCUCCAAGAGACACACAAAAAUACGAAUAGAUAAUAUUAAUAAUUAAUACGAGUCAUUGGUCAUUUAGUUCUGAUCAUAAAACCACUAAAGCCACUCGAGUCACACAGUUCAAAACCACUAAAACAUUCUAGAAAACUUUCAUCUAGGAGCAAAAAUCUGCCUUUAAACUUGAAAGAAGUAAAGAUUUCAUAUUUAUUGUGAUAAUUAUCGAUAUCGAUUGAUAUGAAGACGUUUGUGAUUAAUUUUGAUCAUAUCGCCCAGCCCUAGUCUGAUAACUCAAUACCUUUUUUGCACUUUUUAUGUCAGAUCCACCAGUCACUAGUGGAAAUAAAUGAAAUGAAGGCUUUCUACUGUACCUUUCUGCCACUGCUAAUAAGAUAUAGUAAUCCACUGCUGUGUUAUUGUCAUUUUGAACGAUGAUGUAUUACAAACACUUCCAUGGUGCAAUAGAUUUUUUUUCGUGCAAUAAUCAGAUUUGGACUGAGAGUGAGAAUGUACUGUAGUCUUUAGACGCCAGUGAACUUUCCAAACUUUCCGUUAUUCAUUCUUCAUCUCAAACUUAUCUCUAUUCAUAAUCCGAUUGUAUUUUAAACGCACUUUUGUUUCUUGUCAGAGUGCAGAAACUUGAACACUUGUUAUGAUGUUAGGCAGAUUGUAGCUUUAGAUUUUAACAAGUGCUUUCUGCUUAUUGUGCAACGUAAUUCACUACCCUAUAUAAAGAUAUCUAUAUAAAAGUAUAUUCAUUCUUUAAUUAAGUGACAUUUUUGCAGAAUUAAUAUAUAAUUUCUUCAAUGCCUUGUUAUAUUUUAAUCAAAUAAAUAUUUUGCACCACAUAUUUAUCCCAACACUUUGACUGUCUGACUGUUUUUUUGUUUAGAGCGACACAGCUGGGUUUGGGGUUGUAGGUCUGUCAUCUAAAGUCUUUAUUUUUUAAGAACCAUGCAGAUAAACUGAUAACCAGCUGCUAGGUUUGCUGUGGCAGUUUUAGAUCACAGAAACAAGGUCAGCAUGGGGAAAUUUUGUUACAGGGCACACAUCAACAUUCAUCUUAAAUCAUUUUCACUCAACCCCUUUUGAUUUGAUGAGACAAUGAAGAAACUGGACUUAUUCUGCAGGUCCAAGCGUAAUGUUGGUAUCACGUUGGCUGACCUGCUGCUCUUUACAAUCUUAUGGGAAAAACAAUGACCGCCGUUCUGAAUGGUUUGUUGUGUGUUAUGUUGUGUAGUGGGUUUGUUGUUUUAUAAUAAGAGUUGGAUGAUAGAGUUACAUUUUCCUUGUUUAACAGAAUUCAGAUUUUUGGGAUGAAAAUAAAUAAAUAAAAAACCAGUUUUCUCCUGCUGGAGCCUGGUACCAUCUGCCACACUCAAGCUGGAUUGCGUUUAAUUUUAAUUGUAAUUAUUACGCAUUAAUAACAUGACUUGAAUCUGUAAACAUCACAUUAUUAUAAAUGCAAUUUUAAAGUCCUUUUCUAAAGCACUCGUUUGAUCAAUCUUGCAUGAAGUUUAUUUACAAAAUCUUUUUUUUAAAACUAUGCAACCACAGCUAAACGGCAGUUCGUUUUCCAAAUCUCUUGUCAAGACUUGUGGUCAUUGUGCAGCAUGUCUUUCCAUAUCUUAAUCCAUCGAUUUCUCUGUAGCCCAGCAUGAUUAAAGCUUACUAAAGUGUAGCAUACUUGUAGGGAGAGUUCCCUCCAGUCCAAAAUGAAAAUCAUUUCCUCCCUCUCAUGUUGUCCAUAGGGAAAAAAUGUGUUGUUUUUGGAUUGAAAGCAUGCCUCAAACUCCUGGAGACUGUGAUUGGUUCUUUUCCUCACCUGAUGUGAGGACCGCCCUCCUCUGUCAGUCUUUCUUUUUUUUUUCUUUUUUUUAUAUAUAUUUUUAUUGAAGGAAGAACAAAGUGAUGUAUCACAUACAGAAAAGGGUUAACAAUGUUCCCUAUUUUUAAAAUGUUUUACUUUCCCACAACCCACCCACUGAACAUAGAAAAUAAAUAAAUAAUAAUAAAAUAUAUAAAUGUAUAAAAAUAAAAUAAAAUAAACAAAUAAAAUCAAAAAUAGAAAAAGUAUUUCGAAGUUCUUAUAUUACAAACAGUGAGAAAAUAGUUGACAUCAGUUAGCCCAUUGUGUUGGAUUGCGUUAUCCGUUUCAAUUUGCACAGGCCUUUUAAUAACAGUAUUAGUUUUAGUUUGGGGGAAGAGUUACGUCCUUUUCAAAAUAUGAAAUCAUUGGAGUCCAUACUGAAUAAAAACGUUUAGUGGAUCCUCUAAGAGAAUAUUUAAUUUUCUCCAAUUUCAAAAACAGCAUCACAUCACUAAGCCAAAGUGAAACUAAAGGUGGUUUAUUUGAUUUCCAAUCAAGUAAUAUUCUUCUCCGAGCCAAAAGACAUGCAAAAGCACAUGCGUCUUGACAAUUUUUGGACAUAACCACACCUUGUACAAGUACUCCAAAGACAGCCAUCUCAAAACUAGGCCUGAUCUCUGUCAGUCUUUCUUGCUUUAUUC